RNAcentral lists this ribosomal RNA (254 nucleotides) under uncultured bacterium. RNAcentral describes it as "partial 16S ribosomal RNA". It matches the Rfam family "Bacterial small subunit ribosomal RNA", at positions 524 to 776 of the family's 1533-position model. The record is from RNAcentral.
UACGGGGGGAGCAAGCGUUGUUCGGAUUUACUGGGCGCAAAGGGCGCGUAGGCGGCCACCGCAAGUCGACUGUGAAAUCUCCGGGCUUAACCCGGAAAGGUCAGCCGAUACUGCGGGGCUAGAGUGCAGAAGGGGCAACUGGAAUUCUCGGUGUAGCGGUGAAAUGCGUAGAUAUCGAGAGGAACACCUGCGGCGAAGGCGGGUUGCUGGGCUGACACUGACGCUGAGGCGCGAAAGCUAGGGGAGCGAACGGG